This 403-nucleotide ribosomal RNA is filed under the name uncultured bacterium. RNAcentral's name for it is "partial 16S ribosomal RNA". It matches the Rfam family "Bacterial small subunit ribosomal RNA", at positions 28 to 526 of the family's 1533-position model. The record is from RNAcentral.
GACGAACGCUGGCGGCGUGCCUAAUACAUGCAAGUCGAACGCAGUGGGGACGGGUGAGUAACCCGUGGGUAACCUCCCAUCAGAGGGGAUAACACUUGGAAACAGGUGCUAAAACGAUACUGUUGGAUGGACCCUCGGUGCACUAGCUAGUUGGUGGGUGAACGGCUCACCAAGGCCACGAUGCAUAGCCGACCUGAGAGGGUGAGCGGCCACACUGGGACUGAGACACGGCCCAGGCUCCUACGGGAGGCAGCAGUCGGGAAUCUUCGGCAAUGGACUAAAGGCUGACCGAGCGACUCCGCGUGAGUGAAGAAGGUUUUCGGAUCGUACAACUCUGUUGUUAGAGAAGCGGUAUCUAACCAGAAAGCCACGGCUAACUACGUGCCAGCAGCCGCGGUAAUAC